This is a non-coding RNA of Cryptococcus depauperatus CBS 7841, 93 nucleotides long. The record is from Rfam. NCBI's taxonomy places the organism in Eukaryota, Fungi, Basidiomycota, Tremellomycetes, Tremellales, Cryptococcaceae.
AACAGCGUAAUUCAGAGGAAGAAUGCGAGGCUCAUAAUGUGGUAAUUUACCUUUGAAACCUCGAAGUCACUGGAUCGAAACCAGUCGCUGUUA